CAUUCUUUUUUUUCCAUUGUAUUUUUAUUUUCUCUUUUUAUUGAUAAUGAAAGUUGAUAGUCUUUGUUUGAAAUGGAAAUUGCUUGAAUCGGUAAUAAAAUUUGUGUAAAAAAUAUUGAAAAUACAUUUUAGGGUGGAUGGGUUCUUUGAUGAUGAAGUUGGGGUGAAAAGUUUUACAUGCAUGUCAAUAUUAUGCCAGGUUUGCGCUGUAAUGUACCAAGGGUGUUUGAUAAUUUGCCUAAAUCAACUUGUUUUCCCUUUCAAGUUGUAAGUUUUGAAAAGAAAAAUGAAAUUUUGUAGCAGAAGUCUUAUUCUUGCCUUUUGUUCUUUGAUUUCAGUUACUACAUGUUAUUGACCUCACUAACUAUUAUGUUUGAACCAAAAAGUUCAGUUGUCUAAUAGGUUAAAUUGAUUUGAGCUUAAUUUCUACGCCAAAAGCUGAUAAUAUUAUUAAAGACUUAGUUCAGCAACAAGUUCCAAAGGCUCCAAAUACUGCAAAAAUCAUACUCAAAAUGCUGCAUUUCCAUGAUUGCUUUGUUAAUGGUAAUGAUGGACUGUGCUUCUUAAUUUCAUUUCAAGUUCUGCAAAUCGGAUUGAAAAUCAAGCCAAUCCUAAUUUGGCAUUGAGAGGCUUCUCAUUCAUCGAUGAUGUUAAGAGAUUUGUUGGAGCUAUGUCUUGGAGUUGUUUCUUGUGCUGAUAUUAUAGUGUUGGUUGCUGGAGAUGCACUUGUGGUUACAGUGUUCAAAAGUUGUUGUGUGAGAUCAUAUGAAUGGACUGUUGGUUUUCUGUGGUAAUAGGAAGUCCUACCCUAAAGUUUACAGCUAGCUUCCUAUCACAUAUGAAUAACAAGACUCAAUCGGACAUGAAAGGCGUCUCCAUGUUCAUGAUAUGAAGCUUACAUUUAGUAUUAUCUCUCAUUCUUGAUUUUGGUGUCUGCAUUAUCAGAUAAUAUAAUAUAUCUCACCUUCUAAUCUGUUAACUCAUUUUUCGUAAGUGCAUCUAAAGUCAUCUUACUAUGUUUACAUGGAGUAGGCGGGGGGAGAUGUAGCAACAAUAUAUAUGGAAGAGCCUAUAGGUGAAACAAGAUAUUUCGUGAGCUUAGUUUCUUUAAUUAUCUCACCAAUACAUUUGCCUUAUCUUGUGAUCAAGGAAACUGUAGAAAUUUUGCUUUGUAAGAUGAGCGUCGCCAUUACAUGAUAGCACAUAAUAGGAGUCUCACAAUAAUAACAUCAUCUAACUAUAUACUUUCUAGGUUUUGUAUUAUAAGUAUGAUUCUUUACAUUUAUCUUAUGUUUACAUACCUAACACGCAUAAUGUGUUUGAAGAAGUCCAACUUUCAAAAAGUUAAAAUUUCUUUGCAUUAUUGAAACUUGAGCAGAAAAAUCUCUAUUUUGUAUUACUUUUAAGUUCUUCCAUGGGUUUCUUAUGUUAAAUUUAGUUAUUUUACAAUUAAAAAAAAUCAUAUUGUGCUUGCUAUCACUGAAUAGAUUCAACGUUCGAGAAAAAAAAAAUGAAGAAGAAUAUGAAAAAAUGAUCGUGACAAAGGGUACCAACAGGACAAGCUUUACGAAGAGUUUAAUGGUUGUUGGUCAAAAUCUUAGCUUGUGACAGUCAUGCAGGGAGGACUUUUGAAUGGAUGGGUUGAAUUUUUCUUUGCAUCAACUAUUGAAGAUUUAUUUAGUUUUUG
Molecule: long non-coding RNA, 1687 nt
Organism: Solanum tuberosum (potato)
Lineage: Eukaryota; Viridiplantae; Streptophyta; Magnoliopsida; Solanales; Solanaceae
Exons: 4
Source: RefSeq, a predicted model, not a curated record